RNAcentral lists this long non-coding RNA (4158 nucleotides) under Daucus carota (carrot). RNAcentral describes it as "long non-coding RNA (DCAR_LNC001790)". The record is from RNAcentral. Lineage: Eukaryota; Viridiplantae; Streptophyta; Magnoliopsida; Apiales; Apiaceae.
CCUGUGCUGCUUUCUCUGUUGUAGAGACGGUUCCAAUAACAGUAGCACCUAGCGCAUUUGCCCACUGGCACAGAAGAGAUCCUACACCACCUGCUGCAGCAUGAACAAGAAUUGUGUGUCCAGGUUCAACCUAUAAUACAAGCUAAUAUGAGUCUCAUGCCAAGAAACACCAUAAUACUAUCAAAAGGAACACCACACGAAAUAUGCAAGCAAUGAUUUAACUUCUUAUGUCAGACCAGUGAUAUUUGAGGUGAAAGGCACAUCACGGCCUAAGAACCUCCUGAACCCAGGCAGAGAGUACUAACGUGAGGUGCAAGAUUGACAAGUUUUUAAAUGCACAGAACUAUAAUCCUGAACUCAAUAAAUGUCAAAUCAGACAUAUAAAACUGUUACCUAUGAACCAAAUGCAACUUAACUAAAUAACACAGAUACAUACAUAUUUGUAAAGUUAAGGUAUUAAACUAGGUUGCUGACCAAUAUAAGGGUCAGGUUAUACAUGCAAAUAUGGAGGAUCUUAACAUUCAGUCUCGUUACAUGGCAAAUGGCUAUAUGACCCAUGAUCUUGUAGUUUUCAUAUAUCCCUUGCUCUUUUCUAUUUAAACAAAAGUAUCUUACUACAAGUUUCUAUUGAAAUGUAGAGUCAAUAGGGUGUAUCAAAUUUUGGAAUUCACGUGCACGAACAGUUUUAUCAACUAAAGUAUAAACGAAUGGAGUGUUGGAUUGUGACAGAGAUCACAAAUGAAACCUCAUGCAAUUUGUCAAAUCCUCACAUGGUACUAAACUGUCAACUAUAGCUGCUUAAAUAGAUCGCUCCAUUCAAAAGGUAGCAAGAACUGGGCCAUGAAAGAACCUGAAUGGGCAAAGAAAAGUUUACAGAUACGAUAACAAAAGUAUAUAAGGCAAAUUAUUUUAUCAUGAACUUCCUUAAUAUAUAGCUUAUUACUAAUCAUGCAUUGAGGGGCGACAAUUUAAGUUGUGUACCUAAAUCAUAAAAUGACAGAGGCAAAAAAAAAAAUCCAACUAAAUUAGUUUUGGACUUUGAGAACUCAUAUUCUUUUCUAAUAUUGGAUGUACAUUUGGCACAUUGUGAAAGGAAUUGUCAUACAAGUCGUAGGAUGCAAAAAGUGAGAAGAAAACUGGAGUAAAAUAUUCAAAAUUCAUGUACCUUAAAACAGCGACGCACGAGAAAUUGAGCAGUCAUCCCCUUCAGCAUGACAGAGGCUGCAACAGCUGGAUCAAUAGAAGAAGGAACUGGAACCACUCUGUCCGCUGGAAGAAUCUGUUCUUCAGCGUAUGAUCCCAUUGGAUUUCCAGCAUAUGCAACAAGGUCACCUACUUUCCUGCCAGUUAGCCCAGGACCCACAGCUACCACAACACCAGCUGCCUCCAUACCUGCAAUCAAAAGCAAUAUUAAUUUAGUUUUAACCAAUUGUUAGCAUCGACAACUUUGUGUAUAACUGUAUAUAGACUCUUAUAUGCUCAAUAAUGAAUGAAAAAACAUAUCAGAACGCAUUUCUUUUCAUUAUUGUUAAAUGUGUGAGCAUCCUAAAGCAAAAAGUGCCAAAAUAAUAUAAGAAUUUCGCUGAAUGAUCCAUGAACUUUAAAGAGGAUGUACUUCAUAUGUUAAAAAUCAGUCAUGCAAAUUCACAAUAUAUGUAUAUCGUUAACUAAACAAAAGAGAUGAUCAGUGAUAGGGACAAAGAAAUAACAUAGAAAUUUUAUAGGAAAUAGAAGUGCAUAUAUACAGUAUACAAUUGCUGCAUAUAUACCGAGGUGUGUUACAAUGAAAGAGGUCGAGCCACUUUAUAUAUACAUUGAAUCAGCUUGCUCUCCAAGCCUGUAACAGUACUGUGAUGUCAUCAUAAUGAUGUCAGCACAUCAUGUCAUGCUACACCAAUAAUCAUCUUAAAAAUUACUUUAUUUAUUAUCUUUUCCAAUGCAAUUUUAUAGAAACGACGGUAGGUACGAGAAGAAAAUCUCUCCAAUAACAGUUUAUACCUAUAGAACUUACGACUGGAGUUCAAUGACAACAUGGUCCCUGUAGGCAUGUGCUAUAUGUGUCGCUUUGCGUGUCUAAUAUAUUGGUGACUGAACUUCAAAGUUUUCAGUCUAGAAAAAGUAAAUUACUUUAGGAUCUUUGGCUAAUCCUCAAGUAAAGAACUGAUAUAGUAGAAUUAACACCUUUACAAUUGGAACAAUAGCAGGGACGCAUCUUCCACAAUGAAAUAGACAAAUUAUUUGACCUGGCCUUUAAGGACUAAUUCAUAUUUUAGGAUUAAAAAUUGGCGAUAACCUAUUUCCCCUCCUUCACAACUAACAUUACUAACUUUUCCAAGUCCAUCAUCCUUAUCUUUAAGAAGAGUAGAGAACAAAAAUAGAUUCUGGAUAGGUUUCUAUGGAUAGUAGAUCUUCUUUUGGCAGAACUAGUUCAAGUAACAUUCAUAUAACAGAUGCAUAAUUGAAUAUAAAAGACAAUAAAAGCAUUUCGCAAAGUAUAAAUCUCUACUAGUAAUCAAACAUAGAACACUUUCUGCUGUCACUACCAUAAGGACUGUCCUGGAUAAGUUGAAACUGUACUCAAAUGAAUCAUAAAUUGACAAACAACAAUGCCAAAAGAAACACACACGCGAAUCUAGAACAUCAAAUAAAGAAUACUGAUACCUUUCUCCAAAACAGAACACAAAAGAAUCCAUUUAUUGUUUUAAGGAUCAAUUAUACAUGUUAUAGCAAGUACACGCUCAUAACAGCAAACCUGGUGUGAAGGGCAUUGUAGCUGCUUUGUAAACCCCUUUCCGAUAGUAUAUAUCAAUAAAAUUUAACCCAAUGGCCUUAUUUUUUACCCUGACCUCCCCAUCUUUGGGUUCUCCAAUUGGCACAUCCUCCCAUUUCAGGACCUGUUAUCAGUUCUACACAAUUUAAGUCAUUAUUCAACAAAAUUUACGACUCUAAUUAAAAUUCUGUGGGAGCACAAUCACAUAACAAGCCUAAAACUAGUUUUGCCUUAGUUGUAACACAGAAGAUGACAAAUGAUAAUGGACAGGUGUCCAAAGGGUAAGAUACUUGAGUUUCUGCUUGGAUGGGUAGGGAAUUUUGAAAAGAAGUAAUGUACCAUUACUUCGUCUCAAAAAUGAAGGAGCUGUUUAUAAACCAAACCUUGUCUGGUUCACGAAAUUAAUGUACUGUAAUUCAUAAAACAGCGAAAUUCACUCUUAUACAUUAGUACUCACAAUUGUUCUUUUAAUGAAUACAAGUUAACUGUCCAUGGGAAUUAAAAAAUAUGAUCCCCCUUUUUAUACAAUACUCUUUGGCAAACGACGUAAGAUAUUGUUACAUUCCAUUCUAUCAUUCCAGACCGAAACAUUACCGAGUGUCUAUAUGUCAUUCUUGUACUCAUAGUCCCAUACCCCUGAGCAACAAUGAUCAUUCAUCGGCCCUUGCAUUAUAGUACCGCGUAUAUGGAGGGUUCGAAUCUUAAUAAAGCUAGACUCGUUUCAGCAUUCUAAUUUCUGUAAUUGACCAAUAUCCACUAAAUAUUAAAUACAUGAAUGAUGUAGCAAACUGAUAUAUACAGAUUAAUAAUCAAGAGAUGAUCAAGUUAAUAACUACUGUAAACACAACAAAGUCAACAAUUCUAAAUGAUGCACACCGAUCAAUUAAAGAAGUCCUAAUGCACCCGCCCCCUAUGGGGUUCGAACCCUCAACCUCUUGUCGCUGGAGGGCUUGUUAGUCCAUGUAUAAAUCCUAAUCGAACUCUACCAUCAUCAAACUAAAUACACUACUAGCAAAUAAAAAAUAUAUAUUAUGAACUAUAAACUUCAGCUGAUAUUUGUGAUCACAACAUAAAGAUACUACAAUACAAACACACACANUUUAUAGAGUAUGGUAUGGUGACAUCCAUCAUCUCUAGCCUGUGCUGCUUUCUCUGUUGUAGAGACGGUUCCAAUAACAGUAGCACCUAGCGCAUUUGCCCACUGGCACAGAAGAGAUCCUACACCACCUGCUGCAGCAUGAACAAGAAUUGUGUGUCCAGGUUCAACCUAUAAUACAAGCUAAUAUGAGUCUCAUGCCAAGAAACACCAUAAUACUAUCAAAAGGAACACCACACGAAAUAUGCAAGCAAUGAUUUAACUUCUUAUGUCAGACCAGUGAUAUUUGAGG